GACUGUGUCAACCCCCACAGUGCCUCAGGGCAGAGAGUCUGAUUGGCUGUAUGGCUCAGCUGAGGGUCGUGGCCAACUAGCAGCUAGCGCUAACUUCAGUUGACUGGUUGUCAUGGCGAUGCAUAGGUACCAGGAGUAUACAGACAUGUAGUCUGUCCAAUCAGAGCUUUCUCCCAUGGGGAUGGAACUUGCCCCCCUGGGAUGCCAGCCAAUCAGCAGGUAGGGAAUUUGUGAUUAUUCAAUUUUUUUUAUCUUUAUUUAUUUCUCUAUUGUCUCCCCCUUAUUCCUUCAACUGUUUUCCCCGUUUCUCCAUCCCUGGCCCCGUCCCUCUCCCUGUAUGUGUUCCGUUCCUGUCGAUGGGAGGUGAGCUAGGUUGGAGGGAGGUAGUGAGUCGUGGUAACAGUGUUCUGAGUGGUCAGUACUCUGUAGAGGACGUGAGAGGAGAGGUUGGUCAUCUCUACUGCAGACUAGUGUUCCUGUUUAAUAAAGGACUGGUCCAGUCAGAGAGCUGCCUCACUGACCCCACAACCACAGCAGCCUCCACUCAGAAGAAGAGCAGAAGGAAAGCCCUCUGCCCCUCCCCCUGUGCCCACACAGACACCAGGUGGCACCCUGGCAGUGGAUAAGGGCUUGGUCUGUUGUGCCCACCACAGGGUCAUGGUGGCUGGCCUUGCCAUGCUAGGGGUGGGCUCCAACCACAACAAAGACGUCCUAGUGUCAGUGCUCCUGGUGGGUCUGGGUGGAGGAGGGCUGGAGCUGGACCUGAAGGUGCUGGACCUGAAGGUUGCAUGAGGAGAGGAGGAUGAGAAGGAGGAGAAGAGAGGAAGACCUUGUGAACAAGUAUCAUGAUCUCAUACUUUACUGUAUAGAAAAUAGAAGCAUGUA
Molecule: long non-coding RNA, 885 nt
Organism: Salvelinus fontinalis (brook trout)
Lineage: Eukaryota; Metazoa; Chordata; Actinopteri; Salmoniformes; Salmonidae
Exons: 3
Source: RefSeq, a predicted model, not a curated record